Molecule: long non-coding RNA, 494 nt
Organism: Mauremys mutica (yellowpond turtle)
Lineage: Eukaryota; Metazoa; Chordata; Testudines; Geoemydidae
Exons: 3
Source: RefSeq, a predicted model, not a curated record
GAGCCCCACCUCGCCCACUCCACAUGCCAGGCUCUGCAGAAACCAAUGUUGCAGAAGGGCAGAGGUCAAGAAGCGCCAGUCUGUUAACAGGGAAACAUCCUUAGGUGGUAAAAGCACAUUUAAAGGCAAAAUAUGCUCAAGACAGAAGGUUUAUCUGUUGGUGGGAAUAAAAGAAUGGAUAUAAAACAUUUUAAAGCACAAAGUGAAAUUACCAAGGAAAAAAAAGGAUGCAAGACGGCAAGGCCUCGGAUAUUGGUUAAUAAUUCAGGUCAAAGGGACAACAGUAAUUUUUUGUUACUGAAAGCUGAGAUUCUGGAGCACAGUUCUACAGCAGGAGUCAAUUCCAUAGCAACAUCCACGGCUAUGGAACUGUGGAUACAUGUGACUGCUCAAAAGAUGUAGUUGUCACCAAAUAAGUAUCUUUUUUAUAAAACAUUCACCAAAAUGUAAAAGAAUUAUGAGGUUUCUAGUUCCAACAACAACAUCCAGCAAGA